GAUGAACGCUGGCGGCGUGCUUAACACAUGCAAGUCGAACGGUGAAGCAGGAGCUUGCUCUUGUGGAUCAGUGGCGAACGGGUGAGUAACACGUGAGCAACCUGCCCCUGGCUCUGGGAUAAGCGCUGGAAACGGCGACUAAUACUGGAUAUGUGAUGUGACCGCAUGGUCUGCAUCUGGAAGGACUUUCGUUUGGGGAUGGGCUCGCGGCCUAUCAGCUUGUUGGUGAGGUAAUGGAUCAGCAAGGCGUCGCCGGGUAGCCGGCCUGAGAGGGUGACAGGCCAGACUGGAACUGAGACACGGCCCAGACUCCUACGGGAGGCAGCAGUGGGGAAUAGUGCACAAUGGGCGGAAGCCUGAUGGAGCAACGCGGCGUGAGGGAUGACGGCCUUCGGGUUGUAAACCUCUUUUAGCAGGGAAGAAGCGAAAGUGACGGUACCUGCAGAAAAAGCACCGGCUAACUACGUGCCAGCAGCCGCCGUAA
Molecule: ribosomal RNA, 484 nt
Filed under: uncultured bacterium
Lineage: Bacteria
Description: partial 16S ribosomal RNA
Rfam family: Bacterial small subunit ribosomal RNA
Source: RNAcentral